This 465-nucleotide ribosomal RNA is filed under the name uncultured Bacteroidales bacterium. Its description in RNAcentral is "bacterial SSU rRNA". It matches the Rfam family "Bacterial small subunit ribosomal RNA", at positions 335 to 796 of the family's 1533-position model. Lineage: Bacteria; Pseudomonadati; Bacteroidota; Bacteroidia; Bacteroidales. The record is from RNAcentral.
UUUCCUACGGGGGGCUGCAGUAAGGAAUAUUGGUCAAUGGACGCAAGUCUGAACCAGCCAUGCCGCGUGAAGGAAGACGGCCCUACGGGUUGUAAACUUCUUUUGUACGGGAAAAAACCACCGGUCGAGUAUCGGUGCUGAUGGUACCGUAAGAAUAAGCAUCGGCUAACUCCGUGCCAGCAGCCGCGGUAAUACGGAGGAUGCAAGCGUUAUCCGGAUUCAUUGGGUUUAAAGGGUGCGCAGGCGGAAUGAUAAGUCAGUGGUGAAAUCCUACAGCUCAACUGUAGAACUGCCAUUGAUACUGUUGUUCUUGAGUACACUUGGAGUGGGCGGAAUGUGUCAUGUAGCGGUGAAAUGCUUAGAUAUGACACAGAACACCGAUCGCGAAGGCAGCUCACUAAAUUGUAACUGACGCUCAUGCACGAAAGCGUGGGGAUCAAACAGGAUUAGAUACCCCAGUAGUCC